UGGCUAGGACUUCCAGAACUAUGUUGCAGAGUAGUGGCGAGAGCAGACAUCCUUGUCUUGUUCCUGAUCUCAGCAGGAAUUCUUUCAGCUUUUCACCAUUGAGAAUGAUGUUAGAUCUGGGUUUGUCAUAUAUGGUCUUUAUCAUGUUGAGGUAGGUUCUCAUUAUGCCCACUUUCUGAAGGGUUUUUAUCAGAAAUGGGUGUUGGAUUUUGUCAGAGGCUUUUUCUGCAUCUAUUGAGAGGAUCAUAUGGUUUUUAUUCUUCAGUUUGUUAAUGUGGUGUAUCACACUGAUGGAUUUGUGGAUAUUGAAGAACCCCUGCAUCCCUGGGAUAAAUCCCACUUGAUCAUGAGGUACAAUAUUUUAAUCUGUUGUUGUAUGCGGUUUGCUAGUAUUUUGUUGAGGAUUUUUGCAUCAAUGUUCAUCAGUGAAAUUGGCCUGUAGUUUUCUUUUUUUGUAGAAUCUUUGUCUCGUUUUGGUACCAGGGUGACAGUGGCAUCAUAGAAUGAGUUUGGGAGUGUCCCUUCCUCUGCAAUUUUUUGAAAAAGUUUCAUAAGGAGAGGUGUUAGCUCUUCUCUAAAUGUUUGAUAGAAAUCACCUGUGAAGCCAUCUGGUCCUGGGCUUUUGUUUGUUGGAAGUUUUUCAAUCACAGUUUCAAUUUCAGUUCUUGUGAUUGGUCCGUUCAUCUUUUCUAUUUCAUCUUGGUUUAGUCUUGGAAGAUUGCACCUUUUUAAGAAUUUGUCCAUUUCUUCUAGGUUUUCCACUUUAUUGGCGUAUAGUUGCAUAUAGUAGUCUCUUAUGAUCCUUUGUAUUUCUGUGGUGUCCAUUGUUACUUCUCCUUUUUCAUUUCUACUUGUAUUGAUUUGAGUCCUCUCUCUUUUUUUCUUGAUAAGUCUGGCUAAGGGUUUAUCAAUUUUGUUGAUCUUUUCAAAGAACCAGCUUUUUGUUUCAUUGAUUUUUUUCUAUGGUUUUCUUCAUUUCUAUUUCAUUGAUUUCUGCUCUGAUUUAUGAUUUCUUUCCU
RNAcentral lists this long non-coding RNA (1019 nucleotides) under Sus scrofa (pig). RNAcentral describes it as "lncRNA (ENSSSCG00025056846.1)". The record is from RNAcentral. Lineage: Eukaryota; Metazoa; Chordata; Mammalia; Artiodactyla; Suidae.